This 665-nucleotide long non-coding RNA is filed under the name Mytilus galloprovincialis (Mediterranean mussel). Lineage: Eukaryota; Metazoa; Mollusca; Bivalvia; Mytilida; Mytilidae. The record is from RNAcentral.
GCUGGGUUGAUAAAUUUAAUUCAUUUAGACUUAACUGAGAUGUCAUUUUAGGAUUAAUUUAUAUAUGUCUAAGCAUCCAUUGUGAUGACAAAGGAGAUAUUAGCAUUUCUAUGCUAUAUUAUCUUAAGAAGUUUAUUGAGGGGGGCUUUUUUUUUUUUUUUUAUUGAAGGUUUUAACAAAGGAGAGUGAUAAUUUUCUAUACAUAAGAAAGACUCAACAUCCUGUGUUUGACAUGAUUAUAAAUUAUGGAUAAAUUGAUACAUUUUUCACUUAAUUUCUCUCUUUAAAUUUAUUUUAUGAUGAAAAUAGAGAAUAAGUCAGAUUUUUGAAAUGAUGUUACUUCAAAGGGUGUUGUUUAUAUUAUACAUAUCAAGAAGUUUUGUAUAUGUUUACACAAGUCUGUUUUGUUAUGUUAAGAAGAAGUUUAACUCAAAUUAGAAGUAAUAUAUGUUUAUCUGUCUGAUGUUCUCCAUUAACAGUUAAUCAGUUUUGAAACUUGAUUGCAAUUAAGACAAUUUCCUAUACUCUACAUCUAAAGAUUGUUAUACAUGUUUAUCUAUCAACAGUUAUUUAGCUUGAGGCUUGAUUGUAAUUAAAAAUAUUUAGUAAUUACACAGUAUAAUAACUUCUAAAGGAAGAAAAUCAAAAUAUUUAUGAAGCUUUAC